CACGUGGGAACGUACCCUUCAGUUCGGAACAACCCAGGGAAACUUGGGCUAAUACCGAAUACGUCCGUAAGGAGAAAGAUUUAUCGCCGAAGGAUUGGCCCGCGUCCGAUUAGCUAGUUGGUGAGGUAAUGGCUCACCAAGGCGACGAUCGGUAGCUGGUCUGAGAGGAUGAUCAGCCACAUUGGGACUGAGACACGGCCCAAACUCCUACGGGAGGCAGCAGUGGGGAAUAUUGGACAAUGGGCGCAAGCCUGAUCCAGCCAUGCCGCGUGAGUGAUGACGGCCCUAGGGUUGUAAAGCUCUUUCACCCACGACGAUAAUGACGGUAGUGGGAGAAGAAGCCCCGGCUAACUUCGUGCCAGCAGCCGCGGUAAUACGAAGGGGGCUAGCGUUGUUCGGAUUUACUGGGCGUAAAGCGCGCGUAGGCGGAUCUUUAAGUCAGGGGUGAAAUGCCGAAGCUCAACUUCGGAACUGCCUUUGAUACUGGAGAUCUUGAGUUCGGGAGAGGUGAGUGGAACUGCGAGUGUAGAGGUGAAAUUCGUAGAUAUUCGCAAGAACACCAGUGGCGAAGGCGGCUCACUGGCCCGAUACUGACGCUGAGGCGCGAAAGCGUGGGGAGCAAACAGGAUUAGAUACCCUGGUAGUCCACGCCGUAAACGAUGGAUGCUAGCCGUUAGGCAGCUUGCUGCUUAGUGGCGCAGCUAACGCUUUAAGCAUCCCGCCUGGGGAGUACGGUCGCAAGA
RNAcentral lists this ribosomal RNA (743 nucleotides) under uncultured bacterium. Its description in RNAcentral is "bacterial SSU rRNA". It matches the Rfam family "Bacterial small subunit ribosomal RNA", at positions 114 to 893 of the family's 1533-position model. The record is from RNAcentral.